RNAcentral lists this ribosomal RNA (910 nucleotides) under Trichophyton mentagrophytes. RNAcentral describes it as "LSU rRNA". It matches the Rfam family "Eukaryotic large subunit ribosomal RNA", at positions 36 to 963 of the family's 3401-position model. The record is from RNAcentral. Lineage: Eukaryota; Fungi; Ascomycota; Eurotiomycetes; Onygenales; Arthrodermataceae.
UAGCAUAUCAUAGCGGAGGGAAAAGAAAACAACAGGGAUGGCCCCAGUAACGGCGAGUGAAGCGGCAAGAGCUCAAAUUUGAAAUCUGGCCUCCCCCGGGGGCCCGAGUUGUAAUUUGCAGAGGAUGCUUCGGGUGCGGCCGCCGUCUAAGUUCCUUGGAACAGGACGUCAGAGAGGGUGAGAAUCCCGUCUUGGGCGGGCGGUCCGCGCCCGUGUGAAGCUCCUUCGACGAGUCGAGUUGUUUGGGAAUGCAGCUCUAAGCGGGUGGUAAAUUUCAUCUAAAGCUAAAUAUUGGCCGGAGACCGAUAGCGCACAAGUAGAGUGAUCGAAAGGUUAAAAGCACCUUGAAAAGGGAGUUAAACAGCACGUGAAAUUGUUGAAAGGGAAGCGCUUGCGGCCAGACUCGGGGGCGGGGUUCAGCGGGUGCUCGUCGCCCGUGUAUUCCUCGUCUCCCGGGCCAGCAUCAGUUUCGACGGCCGGUCAAAGGCCCCCGGAAUGUGUCGUCUCUCGGGACGUCUUAUAGCCGGGGGUGCAAUGCGGCCCGUCGGGACUGAGGAACGCGCUCCGGCUCGGAUGCUGGCGUAAUGGCCGUAAGCGGCCCGUCUUGAAACACGGACCAAGGAGUCUAACAUCCACGCGAGUGUUCGGGUGUCAAACCCGUGCGCGCAGUGAAAGCGAACGGAGGUGGGAGCCUUAGGGCGCACCAUCGACCGAUCCUGAAGUCUUCGGAUGGAUUUGAGUAGGAGCGUGGCCGUUGGGACCCGAAAGAUGGUGAACUAUGCCUGAAUAGGGUGAAGCCCAGAGGAAACUCUGGUGGAGGCUCGCAGCGGUUUCUGACGUGCAAAUCGAUCGUCAAAUUUGGCAUUAAGGGCGAAAGACUAAUCGAUCAUCUAGUAGCUGGCUCUGCGAG